UAGCGGCGUUGUUUGACGUUAGCGACAGAAGAAGCACCGGCUAACUCCGUGCCAGCAGCCGCGGUAAUACGGAGGUGCGAGCGUUAAUCGGAAUUACUGGGCGUAAAGCGCAUGCAGGUGGUUUGUUAAGUCAGAUGUGAAAGCCGGGCGUUAACCUCGGAAUAGCAUUUGAAACUAGGCAGACUAGAGUACUGUAGAGGGGGGUAGGAAUUUCAGGUGUAGCGGUGAAAUGCGUAGAGAUCUGAAGGAAUACCGGUGGCGAAGGCGGCCCCCUCGGACAGAUACUGACACUCAGAUGCGAAAGCGUGGGGAGCAAACAGGAUUAGAUACCCUGGUAG
RNAcentral lists this ribosomal RNA (338 nucleotides) under uncultured bacterium. RNAcentral describes it as "bacterial SSU rRNA". It matches the Rfam family "Bacterial small subunit ribosomal RNA", at positions 457 to 793 of the family's 1533-position model. The record is from RNAcentral.